GACGAACCGUGCGAACGUUGUUCGGAUUCACUGGGCUUAAAGGGCGCGUAGGCGGGCUUUCAAGUCGGGGGUGGAAUCCCACAGCUUAACUGUGGAAGUGCCUCCGAUACUGGGAGCCUUGAGGGAGGUAGGGGUGUGUGGAACUUCCGGUGGAGCGGUGAAAUGCGUAGAUAUCGGGAGGAACACCAGUGGCGAAGGCGACUACCUGGCCCAUUCUUGACGCUGAGGCGCGAAAGCUAGGGGAGCGAACGGG
RNAcentral lists this ribosomal RNA (253 nucleotides) under uncultured bacterium. Its description in RNAcentral is "partial 16S ribosomal RNA". It matches the Rfam family "Bacterial small subunit ribosomal RNA", at positions 524 to 776 of the family's 1533-position model. The record is from RNAcentral.